CCGGGCUCGGCUCCAUACCUCCCACCCGCGCGCCUCCCGGAACAGAGCCCCGGACCCCAAGUGGACCAGCCGCUAACAGGCCUUUACAACCCCGAACAGGAGCCCGGGUGAUAGCUACCUGCAGACCAGCCUUCAAGCUAUGAAAAGAAGAUUGGAGUGAUAAAAUUUAAAGCGCCUAGUAAAUUUGCAAAGUCCUGGCUAUUUCUGAAUUUCUUGUAAUUACGUCCAGGGCAAUAUACAGAAAAGGGAAAGAAAAAGAAGACUCUCCAGAGGGCCGUCUCAGGCAUGGAGGGAGGCGCGCACUGGGAAGUGUGAAAGGAAAGGAGCGCUUUUGCGCGCCGCUGGUUCCUCUGCAGGCUCAGGUUGACCAGUGAAAUGCUAAUUAAGAAGGGGAGCUCGCCUGCCUUAUUUUCAGAGAAUAUCAGCAAAGUCGUCCAUGGAUGUAUCAUGAGGAGGGGCUGUGGCGUUUGCAGAGUCCUAGAAAAGAGUUUGUGACAGGAAACCAAUAACUGGUUGUUUAUUCAUAAUAAAAAGACUUGUAAUUACAACUAGGACCAAUUAUUCUUGAGCAUAUUUCAGUUUUAAUAUACAGUUUAAGAAUGUCAAAUACAUUCUACAAAGGAAUGGAGAAACUUACAGACAAAAUAUUUUGACUAAAGGACAAAAACAAAAAACAUCCAAAGCAGUCUUAGAGUUAUCUAAGCAGCAACGUU
Molecule: long non-coding RNA, 713 nt
Organism: Phyllostomus hastatus (greater spear-nosed bat)
Lineage: Eukaryota; Metazoa; Chordata; Mammalia; Chiroptera; Phyllostomidae
Exons: 3
Source: RefSeq, a predicted model, not a curated record